This 465-nucleotide ribosomal RNA is filed under the name uncultured bacterium. RNAcentral describes it as "partial 16S ribosomal RNA". It matches the Rfam family "Bacterial small subunit ribosomal RNA", at positions 338 to 795 of the family's 1533-position model. The record is from RNAcentral.
CCUACGGAUGGCUGCAGUAGGGAAUCUUCCACAAUGGACGAAAGUCUGAUGGAGCAACGCCGCGUGAGUGAAGAAGGGUUUCGGCUCGUAAAGCUCUGUUGGUAGUGAAGAAAGAUAGAGGUAGUAACUGGCCUUUAUUUGACGGUAAUUACUUAGAAAGUCACGGCUAACUACGUGCCAGCAGCCGCGGUAAUACGUAGGUGGCAAGCGUUGUCCGGAUUUAUUGGGCGUAAAGCGAGUGCAGGCGGUUCAAUAAGUCUGAUGUGAAAGCCUUCGGCUCAACCGGAGAAUUGCAUCAGAAACUGUUGAACGUGAGUGCAGAAGAGGAGAGUGGAACUCCAUGUGUAGCGGUGGAAUGCGUAGAUAUAUGGAAGAACACCAGUGGCGAAGGCGGCUCUCUGGUCUGCAACUGACGCUGAGGAGCGAAAGCGUGGGUAGCAAACAGGAUUAGAUACCCUAAUAGUC